GGCAACACAACCGGGGUAGGGGAGCGUCGUAUUUGGGCAGAAGCUGUACCGAAAGGAGCAGUGGACCGAAUACGAGAGAGAAUGCUGGUAUAAGUAGCGAGAGAAUGGUGAGAAUCCAUUCCGUCGAAAAUCUAAGGAUUCCUGAGGAAGGUUCGUCCGCUCAGGGUAAGUCGGGACCUAAGGAGAGGCGUAUAGCGUAUCCGAUGGACAAUCGGUUGAUAAUCCGAUACCACCUUAUAUCGAUUGGAGGAAGCAGUGACACAGGAGGAUAGGGGAGCACGGAGUUGGUAAUCCGUGUCCAAGCACCGAGGCUGGUGUGUAGGAAAGACCGCACAUCGUAAGGUUGAGGUGUUAAGGGGAGCGAAAUUAGAGUAGUGAAGGAACUGAUUUCACACUGUCGAGAAAAGCUGCUAACGAGAUAUAGGGUGCCCGUACCGCAAACCGACACAGGUAGAUGAGGAGAGAAUCCUAAGACGAACGAGAGAAGCGUUGUUAAGGAACUAGGCAAAAUGACCCCGUAACUUAGGGAUAAGGGGCGCCGGGGCAACCCGGCCGCAGUGAAUGGGCCCAAGCGACUGUUUAGCAAAAACACAGGUCUCUGCGAAAUCGAAAGAUGACGUAUAGGGGCUGACGCCUGCCCGGUGCUGGAAGGUUAAGGGGAAAGGUAAGCGCAAGCGAAGCUUUGAACUUAAGCCCCAGUAAACGGCGGCCGUAACUAUAACGGUCCUAAGGUAGCGAAAUUCCUUGUCAGGUAAGUUCUGACCCGCACGAAUGGCGUAACGACUUGGGCACUGUCUCGACAACGCGCUCGGCGAAAUUGUAGUACUAGUGAAGAUGCUAGUUACCCGCGAUUGGACGGAAAGACCCCGUAGAGCUUUACUGCAACUUGACUUUGGGUUUUGGUAUUUCAUGUACAGGAUAGGUGGGAGACAGAGAAGGGAGGACGCCAGUUUUCCCGGAGUCGCUGUUGGGAUACCACUCUUGAGAUACCGGAAUUCUAACCAGUGGCCGGAGACCGGUCAUGGGACAUAGUCAGGCGGGCAGUUUGACUGGGGCGGUCGCCUCCCAAAGAGUAACGGAGGCGUCCCAAGGUUCCCUCAGAAUGGUUGGAAAUCAUUCGUAGAGUGCAAAGGCAGAAGGGAGCCUGACUGCGAGAGAGGCAACUCGAGCAGGUACGAAAGUAGGGCUUAGUGAUCCGGUGGUACCGAGUGGAAGGGCCAUCGCUCAACGGAUAAAAGCUACCUCGGGGAUAACAGGCUUAUCUCCCCCAAGAGUCCACAUCGACGGGGAGGUUUGGCACCUCGAUGUCGGCUCGUCGCAUCCUGGGGCUGAAGUAGGUCCCAAGGGUUGGGCUGUUCGCCCAUUAAAGCGGCACGCGAGCUGGGUUCAGAACGUCGUGAGACAGUUCGGUCCCUAUCCGUCGCGGGCGUAGGAAAUUUGAGGAGAGCUGUCCUUAGUACGAGAGGACCGGGAUGGACGGACCAAUGGUGUAUCAGUUGUUCUGCCAAGGGCAUAGCUGAGUAGCCAAGUCCGGAACGGAUAAGCGCUGAAGGCAUCUAAGCGCGAAGCCGCCUCCAAGAUAAGAUUUCCCACAGAGUAAUCUGGUAAGACCCCAUGUAGACCACAUGGUUGAUAGGUCGGAGGUGUAAGCGUGGCAACACGUUCAGCUGACCGAUACUAAUAGGUCGAGGGCUUGACU
Molecule: ribosomal RNA, 1699 nt
Filed under: metagenome
Description: bacterial LSU rRNA
Rfam family: Bacterial large subunit ribosomal RNA
Source: RNAcentral